RNAcentral lists this ribosomal RNA (251 nucleotides) under uncultured bacterium. RNAcentral's name for it is "partial 16S ribosomal RNA". It matches the Rfam family "Bacterial small subunit ribosomal RNA", at positions 568 to 818 of the family's 1533-position model. The record is from RNAcentral.
UGCGUAGGCGGCGCGGAAAGUUGGGUGUGAAAUCCCUCGGCUCAACCGAGGAACUGCGCCCAAUACUGCCGUGCUCGAGGGAGAUAGAGGUGAGCGGAACUUAGGGUGGAGCGGUGAAAUGCGUUGAUAUCCUAAGGAACACCGGUGGCGAAAGCGGCUCACUGGAUCUCUUCUGACGCUGAGGCACGAAAGCUAGGGUAGCGAACGGGAUUAGAUACCCCGGUAGUCCUAGCCGUAAACGAUGAGCACUG